AUUGAACGCUGGCGGCAUGCCUUACACAUGCAAGUCGAACGGUAACGGGUCCUUCGGGAUGCCGACGAGUGGCGAACGGGUGAGUAAUAUAUCGGAACGUGCCCAGUAGUGGGGGAUAACUGCUCGAAAGAGCAGCUAAUACCGCAUACGACCUGAGGGUGAAAGGGGGGGAUCGCAAGACCUCUCGCUAUUGGAGCGGCCGAUAUCAGAUUAGCUAGUUGGUGGGGUAAAGGCCUACCAAGGCAACGAUCUGUAGUUGGUCUGAGAGGACGACCAGCCACACUGGGACUGAGACACGGCCCAGACUCCGACGGGAGGCAGCAGUGGGGAAUUUUGGACAAUGGGCGCAAGCCAGAUCCAGCAAUGCCGCGUGCAGGAAGAAGGCCUUCGGGUUGUAAACUGCUUUUGUCAGGGAAGAAAUCUUCUGGGCUAAUACCCCGGGAGGAUGACGGUACCUGAAGAAUAAGCACCGGCUAACUACGUGCCAGCCGCCGCAGUAA
RNAcentral lists this ribosomal RNA (500 nucleotides) under uncultured bacterium. RNAcentral's name for it is "partial 16S ribosomal RNA". It matches the Rfam family "Bacterial small subunit ribosomal RNA", at positions 30 to 523 of the family's 1533-position model. The record is from RNAcentral.